Molecule: ribosomal RNA, 549 nt
Filed under: uncultured bacterium
Lineage: Bacteria
Description: bacterial SSU rRNA
Rfam family: Bacterial small subunit ribosomal RNA
Source: RNAcentral
UGGGGAAUAUUGCACAAUGGGGGAAACCCUGAUGCAGCCAUGCCGCGUGUGUGAAGAAGGCCUUCGGGUUGUAAAGCACUUUCAGUAGGGAGGAAAGGUAAUAACUUAAUACGUUAUUGCUGUGACGUUACCUACAGAAGAAGGACCGGCUAACUCCGUGCCAGCAGCCGCGGUAAUACGGAGGGUCCGAGCGUUAAUCGGAAUUACUGGGCGUAAAGCGUGCGCAGGCGGUUUGUUAAGCGAGAUGUGAAAGCCCCGGGCUCAACCUGGGAAUUGCAUUUCGAACUGGCGAACUAGAGUCUUGUAGAGGGGGGUAGAAUUCCAGGUGUAGCGGUGAAAUGCGUAGAGAUCUGGAGGAAUACCGGUGGCGAAGGCGGCCCCCUGGACAAAGACUGACGCUCAGGCACGAAAGCGUGGGGAGCAAACAGGAUUAGAUACCCUGGUAGUCCACGCCGUAAACGAUGUCUACUCGGAGUUUGGUGUCUUGAACACUGGGCUCUCAAGCUAACGCAUUAAGUAGACCGCCUGGGGAGUACGGCCGCAAGGUUA